GGAAUAGUUUUCAGUGGUAAGAUAGAAUGAUUGCUAAUUGUUCGGGUAAAACCCAUAGGUGUUCGAGUCACCUCUAUUCCG
Molecule: transfer RNA, 81 nt
Filed under: Fuscoporia gilva
Lineage: Eukaryota; Fungi; Basidiomycota; Agaricomycetes; Hymenochaetales; Hymenochaetaceae
Also listed under: 1 other name
Description: tRNA-Ser
Source: RNAcentral